This 578-nucleotide ribosomal RNA is filed under the name uncultured bacterium. RNAcentral's name for it is "bacterial SSU rRNA". It matches the Rfam family "Bacterial small subunit ribosomal RNA", at positions 102 to 694 of the family's 1533-position model. The record is from RNAcentral.
ACGGGUGAGUAACACGUGGGUAACCUGCCCUGUACUCUGGGAUAAGCCCGGGAAACUGGGUCUAAUACCGGAUACGACCACCGAGGGCAUCUUUGGUGGUGGAAAGUUCCGGCGGUAUGGGAUGGACCCGCGGCCUAUCAGCUUGUUGGUGGGGUAAUGGCCUACCAAGGCGACGACGGGUAGCCGGCCUGAGAGGGUGACCGGCCACACUGGGACUGAGACACGGCCCAGACUCCUACGGGAGGCAGCAGUGGGGAAUAUUGCACAAUGGGCGAAAGCCUGAUGCAGCGACGCCGCGUGAGGGAUGACGGCCUUCGGGUUGUAAACCUCUUUCAGCAGGGACGAAGCGCAAGUGACGGUACCUGCAGAAGAAGCACCGGCUAACUACGUGCCAGCAGCCGCGGUAAUACGUAGGGUGCGAGCGUUGUCCGGAAUUAUUGGGCGUAAAGAGCUCGUAGGCGGUUUGUCGCGUCGGCCGUGAAAACUUGGGGCUUAACCCCGAGCCUGCGGUCGAUACGGGCAGACUUGAGUUCGGCAGGGGAGACUGGAAUUCCAGGUGUAGCGGUGAAAUGCGCAGA